This 254-nucleotide ribosomal RNA is filed under the name uncultured bacterium. RNAcentral describes it as "partial 16S ribosomal RNA". It matches the Rfam family "Bacterial small subunit ribosomal RNA", at positions 524 to 776 of the family's 1533-position model. The record is from RNAcentral.
UACGGGGGGGGUAAGCGUUGUUCGGAUUUACUGGGCGUAAAGGGCGCGUAGGCGGCCACCGCAAGUCGACUGUGAAAUCUCCGGGCUUAACCCGGAAAGGUCAGCCGAUACUGCGGGGCUAGAGUGCAGAAGGGGCAACUGGAAUUCUCGGUGUAGCGGUGAAAUGCGUAGAUAUCGAGAGGAACACCUGCGGCGAAGGCGGGUUGCUGGGCUGACACUGACGCUGAGGCGCGAAAGCUAGGGGAGCGAACGGG